UGGGAAUUUUGCACAAUGGGGGAAACCCUGAUGCAGCGACGCCGCGUGAUUUAGAAGGCCUUCGGGUUGUAAAAAUCUUUUUUACGGGAUGAAAAUGACAGUACCGUAAGAAUAAGGUCCGGCUAAAUACGUGCCAGCAGCCGCGGUAAUACGUAUGGACCGAGCGUUGUCCGGAAUCAUUGGGCGUAAAGGGUACGUAGGCGGCCUAGUAAGUUAGAAGUGAAAUAAUAUAGCUCAACUAUAUAAAGCUUUUAAAACUGCUAGGCUUGAGAGAUGGAAGGGAAAGUGGAAUUCCUAGUGUAGCGGUGAAAUGCGCAGAUAUUAGGAAGAAUACCGGUGGCGAAGGCGACUUUCUGGUCAUCAUCUGACGCUGAGGUACGAAAGCGUGGGUAGCAAACAGG
RNAcentral lists this ribosomal RNA (401 nucleotides) under bacterium. Its description in RNAcentral is "partial 16S ribosomal RNA". It matches the Rfam family "Bacterial small subunit ribosomal RNA", at positions 356 to 776 of the family's 1533-position model. The record is from RNAcentral.